GUGAGGAAUUUUCCGCAAUGGGCGAAAGCCUGACGGAGCAAUGCCGCGUGAAGGAUGAAGGCCUAUGGGUUGUAAACUUCUUUUCUUAGAGAAGAAUAUUGACGGUAUCUGAGGAAUAAGCAUCGGCUAACUCUGUGCCAGCAGCCGCGGUAAGACAGAGGAUGCAAGCGUUAUCCGGAAUGAUUGGGCGUAAAGCGUCUGUAGGUGGCUUCAAAAGUCUCCUGUCAAAGGUCAGGGCUUAACCCGGGGCCGGCAGGAGAAACUGUGAGGCUAGAGUUUGGUAGGGGCAGAGGGAAGUCCCGGGGGAGCGGUGAAAUGCGUAGAGAUCGGGAGGAACACCAAAGGCGAAAGCACUCUGCUGGGCCACAACUGACACUGAGAGACGAAAGCGAGGGGAGCAAAAGGGAUUAGAAACCCCGGUAGUCC
RNAcentral lists this ribosomal RNA (426 nucleotides) under uncultured bacterium. RNAcentral's name for it is "partial 16S ribosomal RNA". It matches the Rfam family "Bacterial small subunit ribosomal RNA", at positions 354 to 796 of the family's 1533-position model. The record is from RNAcentral.